This 573-nucleotide ribosomal RNA is filed under the name uncultured bacterium. Its description in RNAcentral is "bacterial SSU rRNA". It matches the Rfam family "Bacterial small subunit ribosomal RNA", at positions 113 to 714 of the family's 1533-position model. The record is from RNAcentral.
ACACGUAAGAAUUUGCCUUUAGGAGGGGGAUAACAACUGGAAACGGUUGCUAAUACCCCAUAUGCUUUCGAGUGAAAUGGAAUUUUCCGCCUAGAGAGAAGCUUGCGGCUGAUUAGCUUGUUGGUAAGGUAAUGGCUUACCAAGGCGACGAUCAGUAUCUGGUUCGAGAGGACGAUCAGACACACUGGAACUGAGACACGGUCCAGACUCCUACGGGAGGCAGCAGUGGGGAAUUUUCCGCAAUGGGCGAAAGCCUGACGGAGCAAUACUGCGUGAGGGAUGACGGCCUAUGGGUUGUAAACCUCUUUUUUCAGGGAGGAAUAAAAUGACGUGUACCUGAAGAAUAAGCAUCGGCUAACUCCGUGCCAGCAGCCGCGGUAAGACGGAGGAUGCAAGUGUUAUCCGGAAUCACUGGGCGUAAAGCGUCUGUAGGUGGUUUAAUAAGUCAACUGUUAAAUCCUUGAAGCUCAACUUCAAAAUCGCAGUCGAAACUAUUAGACUAGAGUAUAGUAGGGGUAAAGGGAAUUUCCAGUGGAGCGGUGAAAUGCGUAGAGAUGGGAAAGAACACCGAUG